GCUCUUCACCUGGAAUAUGAGAGUGCCGUGAACGUCAGUGACUGUAAAAUUGUUUUCUCCAAGAGUCAAGAGCUUGCUGGCAACAGUGAGGUCCACCGGAUACUGUGCCAGGAACUGUGGCCCUAUCACCACCAACGGUCUCUCCAGUGGCUGAUAACUUGUCAUCGCCGGAAUUGGGUUGGGGUUGCUCUGUACCGAAU
This 200-nucleotide unclassified non-coding RNA is filed under the name Hevea brasiliensis (rubber tree). Lineage: Eukaryota; Viridiplantae; Streptophyta; Magnoliopsida; Malpighiales; Euphorbiaceae. The record is from RNAcentral.